RNAcentral lists this ribosomal RNA (398 nucleotides) under uncultured bacterium. RNAcentral's name for it is "bacterial SSU rRNA". It matches the Rfam family "Bacterial small subunit ribosomal RNA", at positions 30 to 425 of the family's 1533-position model. The record is from RNAcentral.
AUUGAACGCUGGCGGCAUGCCUUACACAUGCAAGUCGAACGGCAGCACGGGAGCAAUCCUGGUGGCGAGUGGCGAACGGGUGAGUAAUAUAUCGGAACGUGCCCGGUCGUGGGGGAUAACGUAGCGAAAGCUACGCUAAUACCGCAUACGAUCUACGGAUGAAAGCGGGGGAUCGCAAGACCUCGCGCGAUUGGAGCGGCCGAUAUCAGAUUAGGUAGUUGGUGAGGUAAUGGCUCACCAAGGCGACGAUCCGGUAACUAGGGUCUGAGAGGAUGAUCAGUCACACUGGAACUGAGACACGGUCCAGACUCCUACGGGAGGCAGCAGUGGGGAAUAUUGGACAAUGGGCGAAAGCCUGAUCCAGCCAUGCCGCGUGUGUGAAGAAGGUCUUCGGAUUG